UUGAACCCAGGCACUGCCAUUCCACAGGCCAAGCCCUUCACCACUAUGCCACAUUGCCUUGUGCCAGGCCUGCUUCCAGACCAGGGGCUGCUCACUGGCUGGUCUCCAAUGGACCAGCACCUGGAAUGAGAUGGGGCCAGGCCUUGAGACUGUGGCCUCAUGGUCUUAGCACAGAUGGGCACAGCUCUGGGAUCAAGCUGUAGCUGCAAGCACCAUGCCCUGGGGCAAGGCUCCUUGGUAGGUGCCCGGCCUCCUGUUCCCAGGGCCACUCCCCAGGUACUCUGGCCACUUCAGCCUGCAGGAGGAAUGUCUGCAAUGAACAAAAAUGCAGAAAUGGAGUGACCUGGGACAGUCUGGGUAUCCCAGUGGCCCCUCAGAUUUACUAUGGCCCAUCUGCUCCUCCUGGUAGGCCCUCGGGUCUGCAAGAGCCCUGAUGGUGGAGAGGGGGCUGCGCGGGUGGCCCUCUCCUGGGGCUGGCUUUUGACCCCUCUCCUGCACCCACCCCAACUCCACUCUGAAGGACCCCGGCAAGCCAGGUCAAUUAUUAGAACUCCAUAAAGGUUUGCUGGUGUUAUUUGAUUUUUGUCGUUGCUUUUUGUUAUCAUGAACUGGGCCUGUAAAAUGAAGAGGUUCAUGCCUUUCUUGGUGAAGUGGUCAAGAUUUAAAGACGUGGUGGGUACAGUACAGCUUUUUGCAACGUGGACAGAGGAGACACCGUCACGGGAGGUGCGGGGGCUCUUUUCACUCCGAGGCGUUCAGGCCGGGACCGAGCUGCUGGGGGAGUGCCCGGUGGGCAGGCAGUGAGCUCGCACCGGGCAAGAUUUGGGUCUGACCCCUCCUCCCUGCACUCACCCCCUCCCUGGGCGCCAACAGCACCCGGAGCAGCGCAAGGGCGUCCUCGCUGCGCAAACGCGGGGCUCCAGCGCCGCCUGCCGGUCGCCGUGUGCAGCACCGACCCAGAGAUCUCGCCGUGUCGGCCUGCGCUGGGGACGCGCGGGACACCCGGUUCCAGGAAUCCCGGUGGGGGUCCGGCCUUGUUGGGCGCAGGGAACGCGGCUCUGCAGGACGGGCCGCCGCCGAGGGCAUCGGCAAGCUUCGGGGUGUGGACCCUGCCUGCGCCCGCUGCAACAGUUUUGGGCAACACCGUGGCUUUUUGAGCCUCAGUCACUCCUUGCGGAGGACGAACAGGCUGGGAAUUCGUCUUCUCCCACCGCAGCGUCUCUGCAACCUCGUUCUCGACGACGUCCCAGCCUCCCUUCUGGUCCAGUCCCACCCCCAACAUUCCUCCUACCCUACUCGCUGGACACUUCCCGCAAUUCCAAAUCCCGGCGUGUGGCUCAUCCACGUGAAAACCCUUCAGAGUUCCUGGUUGUCGCAUAAAACGUUGCUUUCAUAUUAAAACGAACAUGGACUCUGGGAGGCCGAGGCUGGACGAUCCCCUGGGCCCAGGAGUUGAAGGUUACAGUGAGCCAUGAUCCCCACUGCACUCCAGCCUGGGCAACAAAGCGAGAUUCUAUGUAAAAAGAAGAAAAAAAAAAAAAAAAA
RNAcentral lists this long non-coding RNA (1545 nucleotides) under Macaca fascicularis (crab-eating macaque). RNAcentral describes it as "lncRNA (ENSMFAG00000062484.1)". Lineage: Eukaryota; Metazoa; Chordata; Mammalia; Primates; Cercopithecidae. The record is from RNAcentral.